GCCACAACGAGGAAGAACCUGAGUGGAUGAGUGGAAGGAAGGAGAAAGGCGUGGAGCAGGCACAGUUUCUGAGAGAAAUGAAUGGAUUAUAUUAGCUAUGUGCUUGAUCAGUCUCAUCUUCAUUCCCGCAGCGGAAAAAAAUACUGAAAAAGUCCUGAAAAGGAAAUAUGAAGUCAGUGUGCAACUGUUGAAGCCUUCCUGUUUCCUUAUUUGGUACAAAAGUUGUGUUCCUUUGAAGGGCCAGAUGAUAGGAACACAGUACAAUUCACAACAGAUCAGCAGCAUAAUCCAUUGACUUGGGCAGAGCUUGGAGUUGACAAGGACAAGCUCAAAGUUGCUAUUCCUGUUUCCAGAUGACCACAGGGAAGCUUUGGAGGAGGGGGAGUGCUGCUUCUGGUCUUCAGAUACUUAUUGCUGAAGGGUUUGGACUUUGAGAUGACAGAGAGCCUCCUUAUUGGCUGAUGAUUCAGUGUAUGCAAAAGAGAGCAACCUGUCCUUGGUUUUCCUUUCUGGCUGAAGAUCAUGUCAAAUUGCAUCAGGACUAACUAUCUCAAAUUGCUUCUUGAGAAUUGGAUGUGCUGGGGGUGGCUAUCCUCAUCCCAUGCCCCAGACCUCACUGUGUUUGUGAGAUCAAGGCAGCUAAAACACUUAUCCUGCCUAGGCAAACCUGAGCCUGGGUUUGGGAUGCCUCUUUGGUGUUUGUUCUUCUUCCCUAAAUUUAGGCAACAAGUAAUAAUAAUAAUAAUAAUAAUAAUAAUAAUAAUAAUAGCUU
Long non-coding RNA from Vombatus ursinus (common wombat), 772 nucleotides. RefSeq lists it as uncharacterized. The transcript is spliced from 3 exons. NCBI's taxonomy places the organism in Eukaryota, Metazoa, Chordata, Mammalia, Diprotodontia, Vombatidae. The record is from RefSeq and is a predicted model, not a curated record.